UUGGACAAUGCCUUCCCUUUAUUUGUUGUUGGUGGUUUGACUGUCCUGCUUGCCUUGGACUUUUGUGAGGUGUUUCCUUAAUGAGAGGUUCUUUUGGACGAUCGCAACUUAAGCCUGUCACUAUGGCAAACUCUUUCACGCCAAAAUAAACUGGCAUGCCACAGUAGUUGAUCCAGAUUUCAUCCAUCUUUUUUCCCCCUCCGUAGAAUCUUUAUGAUCCCCCAUGUACUUGAUCCUGUGC
RNAcentral lists this long non-coding RNA (241 nucleotides) under Capsicum annuum. RNAcentral describes it as "long non-coding RNA (CANN_LNC017902)". The record is from RNAcentral. Lineage: Eukaryota; Viridiplantae; Streptophyta; Magnoliopsida; Solanales; Solanaceae.